Molecule: ribosomal RNA, 724 nt
Filed under: uncultured Ruegeria sp.
Lineage: Bacteria; Pseudomonadati; Pseudomonadota; Alphaproteobacteria; Rhodobacterales; Roseobacteraceae
Description: bacterial SSU rRNA
Rfam family: Bacterial small subunit ribosomal RNA
Source: RNAcentral
GCUGGCGGCAGGCCUAAUACAUGCAAGUCGAGCGCGCCCUUCGGGGUGAGCGGCGGACGGGUGAGUAACGCGUGGGAAUAUGCCCUUCUCUAAGGAAUAGCCUCUGGAAACGGAGAGUAAUACCUUAUACGCCCUUUGGGGGAAAGAUUUAUCGGAGAAGGAUUAGCCCGCGUUAGAUUAGGUAGUUGGUGGGGUAAUGGCCUACCAAGCCUACGAUCUAUAGCUGGUUUGAGAGGAUGAUCAGCCACACUGGGACUGAGACACGGCCCAGACUCCUACGGGAGGCAGCAGUAGGGAAUCUUAGACAAUGGGGGCAACCCUGAUCUAGCCAUGCCGCGUGUGUGAUGAAGGCCCUAGGGUCGUAAAGCACUUUCGCCAGAGAUGAUAAUGACAGUAUCUGGUAAAGAAACCCCGGCUAACUCCGUGCCAGCAGCCGCGGUAAUACGGAGGGGGUUAGCGUUGUUCGGAAUUACUGGGCGUAAAGCGCACGUAGGCGGAUUAGUAAGUUAGAGGUGAAAUCCCAGGGCUCAACCCUGGAACUGCCUUUAAUACUGCUAGUCUUGAGUUCGAGAGAGGUAAGUGGAAUUCCGAGUGUAGAGGUGAAAUUCGUAGAUAUUCGGAGGAACACCAGUGGCGAAGGCGGCUUGCUGGCUCGAUACUGACGCUGAGGUGCGAAAGUGUGGGGAGCAAACAGGAUUAGAUACCCUGGUAGUCCACACCGUAA